GAGGGUAUAGCUCAGUGGCAGAGUGCAUGCUUAGCAUGCACAAGAUCCUGGGUUCAAUCCCCAGUACCUCCA
RNAcentral lists this transfer RNA (72 nucleotides) under Camelus dromedarius (Arabian camel). It matches the Rfam family "tRNA". Rfam says of the family: Transfer RNA (tRNA) molecules are approximately 80 nucleotides in length. Their secondary structure includes four short double-helical elements and three loops (D, anti-codon, and T loops). Further hydrogen bonds mediate the characteristic L-shaped molecular structure. tRNAs have two regions of fundamental functional importance: the anti-codon, which is responsible for specific mRNA codon recognition, and the 3' end, to which the tRNAs corresponding amino acid is attached (by aminoacyl-tRNA synthetases). tRNAs cope with the degeneracy of the genetic code in two manners: having more than one tRNA (with a specific anti-codon) for a particular amino acid; and 'wobble' base-pairing, i.e. permitting non-standard base-pairing at the 3rd anti-codon position. Lineage: Eukaryota; Metazoa; Chordata; Mammalia; Artiodactyla; Camelidae. The record is from Rfam by way of RNAcentral. RNAcentral also lists the same sequence under 1 other name.